Molecule: long non-coding RNA, 478 nt
Filed under: Mytilus galloprovincialis (Mediterranean mussel)
Lineage: Eukaryota; Metazoa; Mollusca; Bivalvia; Mytilida; Mytilidae
Source: RNAcentral
UAUGAUAAUGUAUUCAAUAACUCAUAUAUAAGAAUAAUGUGAAGGCGAUACGGUCAACAUAUCGGUAUUCCAAGUUCUCGAUACCAAUAUUAGUGGUUUCAUUAUUAAAGCGAUCAAGGCCAUACAUCUACCUCCAGAACAGUAUAUUUAAAGGAAAUUGUCAAAAUCCUCGAGUCAAAAUCCUCUUGACAUAAUGUUGGCAUCUAAUAAAAACACAGAGUAAACGUGAACAUCCCAACAACAAAAACACACUGAGUACAGAUCGAAGAUUACUCGCAGUUACUGACAGCUAGCUCAAAGUCAAUUACAUUUAACUGAUAAAAAAAAAAGCAUGCAUCUUAAGAGUAGAUUAUAAAUCAGUUCACAUUCAAUAUCAAAUUUCACAUAACUGUCAUGUACAUGUGUACAUGCAUGUCGUUUAGCCAAUCUUGGAUAACUUUUGGAUUGAUAACCUAUAUCCUUUCUUUUCUCUGACCCA